Molecule: long non-coding RNA, 1932 nt
Filed under: Vitis vinifera (wine grape)
Lineage: Eukaryota; Viridiplantae; Streptophyta; Magnoliopsida; Vitales; Vitaceae
Description: long non-coding RNA (VVIN_LNC005228)
Source: RNAcentral
GCACAAUAACGGUCUAUUGGGGCCAGAAUGGGAAUGAGGGCAGCUUGGCUGAUACCUGCUCAUCGGGCAAUUAUGGAAUUGUCAAUAUUGGUUUCUUGAUUGUUUUUGGCAAUAACCAAACCCCGCAGCUGAAUCUGGCUGGCCAUUGCUCUAAUGAUUGUACGGGGUUGAGCAACGACAUUAGAGCAUGCCAGAAUCAAGGCAUCAAGGUGUUGCUUUCCCUCGGAGGUGCCGGAGGAAGCCCUUUUCUGACCUCUGCGGAGGAUGCCAGGUGAUUAUUUUUCUCAAGUGUACAAAUUAUUUUGGUUUUUGAAAAAUACUAAAAAAAAAAUUAAGAAAAAUGAUAUUCUCAAGUUUAGUUUUAUUGUAAAAAUUACGGAAAAAAAGUCAAAUAUAUAAAAAAAAAAUAUAGCCCUAGCCAUAGCGUCUAAUCCUUGUGAGAUCAACGCUGAUUUUAAUGUUGUGAUGCAGGCAAGUUGCAGAAUACCUAUGGAACAAUUUUCUUGGUGGCCAAUCAAGCUCACGGCCAUUAGGAGAUGCUGUUCUAGAUGGGAUUGAUUUUGACAUAGAGGGAGGCACGAACCAGCACUGGGAUGAGCUAGCCAAAGCCUUGUCGGAGUACAAGCAGCAGAGGACGGUGUACCUGUCGGCAGCUCCACAGUGCCCAUUUCCGGAUGCAUGGAUGGGCACAGCGAUUGCCACAGGCCUAUUCGACUAUGUUUGGGUCCAAUUCUACAACAAUGACUGCCAAUUCUCCGGCAACGCCGACAAACUUAUCAGCGCCUGGAACCAAUGGACCACAAUUCAAGCCGGUCAAGUAUUUUUGGGGUUGCCUGCAGCCCCAGAAGCAGCCGGAUCUGGCUACAUCGCACCGGACGUGCUUGUUUCCCAGGUCCUGCCGUCCAUCAAGACUUCCCCCAAGUAUGGAGGUGUCAUGCUUUGGUCUAAAUAUUAUGAUAAUGGCUAUAGUGCAGCCAUUAAGUCCAGUGUUUGAAGUCUUGUCUUCUUAUAUAUGUUUACUUCUAAUAUGGUAAAAUAAAUGAGCAUUUGAUACUUUCUGAAGCUUCCCAGAUAAAGCUGAAUGAAAUAUGAAUUUUCUGCUUUCAUGAUUAAUACAUAUCGUACAAUAUUUUUCAAUAUCGACUCAACUGGACACCUGACUGCCCAUAUGCCUCAACCAUGGACGCCAAACUUUACUUGCAAUUCUCUUGCUUCUCCAUCUCUUCAAAUUGUGCCUAGGUCUUGAACACUAAUGCAGACAAUAUCUGUCUAUUGGGGCCAGGGCCGAAAUGAGGGCAGCUUGUCUGAUACCUGCUAGUCAGGCAAUUACGGAAUUGUCAAUAUUGGUUUCCUGGUUGUUUUUGGAGAUAACCAAACUCCGCAAAUGAAUCUGGCCUGCCAUUGCGACCCGAGCUCUAAUGGUUGCACGGCGUUGAGCAAUGACAUUAGAGCAUGCCAGGGGCGAGGCAUCAAGGUCUUGCUUUCCAUCGGAGGUGGCUCAGGAAGCUAUUCUUUGACCUCUGCGAAGGAUGCCAGGUGAUUUAUUUUCAUAAAUAUCAUUUGAUAUUCGGAUUGAUUUUCAAAUAACCGGUGAUUUUAUCGUUGUGAUGCAGGCAAGUUGCAAAUUACCUAUGGAACAAUUUUCUUGGUGGCCAAUCAAGCUCACGACCAUUAGGAGAUGCUGUUCUAGAUGGGAUUGAUUUUGACAUAGUGGGAGGCACGGACCAGCACUGGGAUGAGCGAGCCAACGCCUUGUCGGAGUUCCGCCAUCAGAGGAAGGUGUACCUGUCGGCAGCUCCACAGUGCCCAUUUCCGGAUGCAUGGAUGGGCACAGCGAUUGCCACAGGUCUAUUCGACUAUGUUUGGGUCCAAUUCUACAAGAAUCCCCCUUGCCAAUACUCCGGCAAUAGCAGCCAACUUAUUAGCGCCUGG